RNAcentral lists this small RNA (604 nucleotides) under Pan troglodytes (chimpanzee). RNAcentral's name for it is "processed transcript". Lineage: Eukaryota; Metazoa; Chordata; Mammalia; Primates; Hominidae. The record is from RNAcentral.
UGAAGUAUAUGAAUUGAAAGAGGAUAUUGGUGUUGGCUCCUACUCUGUUUGCAAGCGAUGCAUACAUGCAACUACCAACAUGGAAUUUGCAGUGAAGAUCAUUGACAAAAGUAAGCGAGACCCUUCAGAAGAGAUUGAAAUAUUGAUGCGCUAUGGACAACAUCCCAACAUUAUUACUUUGAAGGAUGUCUUUGAUGAUGGUAGAUAUGUUUACCUUGUUACGGAUUUAAUGAAAGGAGGAGAGUUACUUGACCGUAUUCUCAAACAAAAAUGUUUCUCGGAACGGGAGGCUAGUGAUAUACUAUAUGUAAUAAGUAAGACAGUUGACUAUCUUCAUUGUCAAGGAGUAAGUUGAGAAAAUGGACUUCUCUUAACUCCAUGCUACACUGCAAACUUUGUUGCACCUGAGGUUCUUAUGCAACAGGGAUAUGAUGCUGCUUGUGAUAUCUGGAGUUUAGGAGUCCUUUUUUACACAAUGUUGGCUGGCUACACUCCAUUUGCUAAUGGCCCCAAUGAUACUCCUGAAGAGAUACUGCUGCGUAUAGGCAAUGGAAAAUUCUCUUUGAGUGGUGGAAACUGGGACAAUAUUUCAGACGGAGCAAAG